UAAGCGACUAAGCGUACACGGUGGAUGCCCUGGCAGUCAGAGGCGAUGAAGGACGUGCUAAUCUGCGAUAAGCGUCGGUAAGGUGAUAUGAACCGUUAUAACCGGCGAUUUCCGAAUGGGGAAACCCAGUGUGAUUCGUCACACUAUCAUUAACGAAUCCAUAGGUUAAUGAGGCGAACCGGGGGAACUGAAACAUCUAAGUACCCCGAGGAAAAGAAAUCAACCGAGAUUCCCCCAGUAGCGGCGAGCGAACGGGGAGGAGCCCAGAGCCUGAAUCAGUGUGUGUGUUAGUGGAAGCGUCUGGAAAGGCGCGCGAUACAGGGUGACAGCCCCGUACACAAAAAUGCACAUGCUGUGAGCUCGAUGAGUAGGGCGGGACACGUGGUAUCCUGUCUGAAUAUGGGGGGACCAUCCUCCAAGGCUAAAUACUCCUGACUGACCGAUAGUGAACCAGUACCGUGAGGGAAAGGCGAAAAGAACCCCGGCGAGGGGAGUGAAAAAGAACCUGAAACCGUGUACGUACAAGCAGUGGGAGCACAGAGCAAUCUGUGUGACUGCGUACCUUUUGUAUAAUGGGUCAGCGACUUAUAUUCUGUAGCAAGGUUAACCGAAUAGGGGAGCCGAAGGGAAACCGAGUCUUAACUGGGCGUUAAGUUGCAGGGUAUAGACCCGAAACCCGGUGAUCUAGCCAUGGGCAGGUUGAAGGUUGGGUAACACUAACUGGAGGACCGAACCGACUAAUGUUGAAAAAUUAGCGGAUGACUUGUGGCUGGGGGUGAAAGGCCAAUCAAACCGGGAGAUAGCUGGUUCUCCCCGAAAGCUAUUUAGGUAGCGCCUCGUGAAUUCAUCUCCGGGGGUAGAGCACUGUUUCGGCAAGGGGGUCAUCCCGACUUACCAACCCGAUGCAAACUGCGAAUACCGGAGAAUGUUAUCACGGGAGACACACGGCGGGUGCUAACGUCCGUCGUGAAGAGGGAAACAACCCAGACCGCCAGCUAAGGUCCCAAAGUCAUGGUUAAGUGGGAAACGAUGUGGGAAGGCCCAGACAGCCAGGAUGUUGGCUUAGAAGCAGCCAUCAUUUAAAGAAAGCGUAAUAGCUCACUGGUCGAGUCGGCCUGCGCGGAAGAUGUAACGGGGCUAAACCAUGCACCGAAGCUGCGGCAGCGACACUGUGUGUUGUUGGGUAGGGGAGCGUUCUGUAAGCCUGUGAAGGUGUGCUGUGAGGCAUGCUGGAGGUAUCAGAAGUGCGAAUGCUGACAUAAGUAACGAUAAAGCGGGUGAAAAGCCCGCUCGCCGGAAGACCAAGGGUUCCUGUCCAACGUUAAUCGGGGCAGGGUGAGUCGACCCCUAAGGCGAGGCCGAAAGGCGUAGUCGAUGGGAAACAGGUUAAUAUUCCUGUACUUGGUGUUACUGCGAAGGGGGGACGGAGAAGGCUAUGUUGGCCGGGCGACGGUUGUCCCGGUUUAAGCGUGUAGGCUGGUUUUCCAGGCAAAUCCGGAAAAUCAAGGCUGAGGCGUGAUGACGAGGCACUACGGUGCUGAAGCAACAAAUGCCCUGCUUCCAGGAAAAGCCUCUAAGCAUCAGGUAACAUCAAAUCGUACCCCAAACCGACACAGGUGGUCAGGUAGAGAAUACCAAGGCGCUUGAGAGAACUCGGGUGAAGGAACUAGGCAAAAUGGUGCCGUAACUUCGGGAGAAGGCACGCUGAUAUGUAGGUGAAGUCCCUCGCGGAUGGAGCUGAAAUCAGUCGAAGAUACCAGCUGGCUGCAACUGUUUAUUAAAAACACAGCACUGUGCAAACACGAAAGUGGACGUAUACGGUGUGACGCCUGCCCGGUGCCGGAAGGUUAAUUGAUGGGGUCAGCGCAAGCGAAGCUCUUGAUCGAAGCCCCGGUAAACGGCGGCCGUAACUAUAACGGUCCUAAGGUAGCGAAAUUCCUUGUCGGGUAAGUUCCGACCUGCACGAAUGGCGUAAUGAUGGCCAGGCUGUCUCCACCCGAGACUCAGUGAAAUUGAACUCGCUGUGAAGAUGCAGUGUACCCGCGGCAAGACGGAAAGACCCCGUGAACCUUUACUAUAGCUUGACACUGAACAUUGAGCCUUGAUGUGUAGGAUAGGUGGGAGGCUUUGAAGUGUGGACGCCAGUCUGCAUGGAGCCGACCUUGAAAUACCACCCUUUAAUGUUUGAUGUUCUAACGUGGACCCGUGAUCCGGGUUGCGGACAGUGUCUGGUGGGUAGUUUGACUGGGGCGGUCUCCUCCUAAAGAGUAACGGAGGAGCACGAAGGUUGGCUAAUCCUGGUCGGACAUCAGGAGGUUAGUGCAAUGGCAUAAGCCAGCUUGACUGCGAGCGUGACGGCGCGAGCAGGUGCGAAAGCAGGUCAUAGUGAUCCGGUGGUUCUGAAUGGAAGGGCCAUCGCUCAACGGAUAAAAGGUACUCCGGGGAUAACAGGCUGAUACCGCCCAAGAGUUCAUAUCGACGGCGGUGUUUGGCACCUCGAUGUCGGCUCAUCACAUCCUGGGGCUGAAGUAGGUCCCAAGGGUAUGGCUGUUCGCCAUUUAAAGUGGUACGCGAGCUGGGUUUAGAACGUCGUGAGACAGUUCGGUCCCUAUCUGCCGUGGGCGCUGGAGAACUGAGGGGGGCUGCUCCUAGUACGAGAGGACCGGAGUGGACGCAUCACUGGUGUUCGGGUUGUCAUGCCAAUGGCACUGCCCGGUAGCUAAAUGCGGAAGAGAUAAGUGCUGAAAGCAUCUAAGCACGAAACUUGCCCCGAGAUGAGUUCUCCCUGACCCUUUAAGGGUCCUGAAGGAACGUUGAAGACGACGACGUUGAUAGGCCGGGUGUGUAAGCGCAGCGAUGCGUUGAGCUAACCGGUACUAAUGAACCGUGAGGCUUAACCU
Molecule: ribosomal RNA, 2900 nt
Filed under: Escherichia coli T1282_01
Lineage: Bacteria; Pseudomonadati; Pseudomonadota; Gammaproteobacteria; Enterobacterales; Enterobacteriaceae
Description: bacterial LSU rRNA
Rfam family: Bacterial large subunit ribosomal RNA
Source: RNAcentral